This 301-nucleotide ribosomal RNA is filed under the name uncultured bacterium. Its description in RNAcentral is "partial 16S ribosomal RNA". It matches the Rfam family "Bacterial small subunit ribosomal RNA", at positions 509 to 807 of the family's 1533-position model. The record is from RNAcentral.
CAGUCGCCGCGGUAAUACAGAGGGUGCAAGCGUUAAUCGGAAUUACUGGGCGUAAAGCGUGCGUAGGCGGUUCGUUAAGUCUGUUGUGAAAGCCCCGGGCUCAACCUGGGAAUGGCAAUGGAUACUGGCGAGCUAGAGUGUGUCAGAGGAUGGUGGAAUUCCCGGUGUAGCGGUGAAAUGCGUAGAGAUCGGGAGGAACAUCAGUGGCGAAGGCGGCCAUCUGGGACAACACUGACGCUGAGGCACGAAAGCGUGGGGAGCAAACAGGAUUAGAUACCCCUGUAGUCCCUGUCUCUUAUAC